GUAGGUGGCAAGCGUUGUCCGGAAUUAUUGGGCGUAAAGCGCGCGCAGGCGGGUCCUUUAAGUCUGAUGUGAAAGCCCACGGGCUCAACCGUGAGGGUCAUUGGAAACUGGGGGACUUGAGUACAGAAGAGGAAAGCGGAAUUCCAAGUGUAGCGGUGAAAUGCGUAGAGAUUUGGAGGAACACCAGUGGCGAAGGCGGCUUUCUGGUCUGUAACUGACGCUGAGGCGCGAAAGCGUGGGGAGCAAACAGGAUUAGAUACCCUGGUAGUCCACGCCGUAAACGAUGAGUGCUAAGUGUUAGGGGGGUUUCCGCCCCUUAGUGCUGCAGCUAACGCAUUAAGCACUCCGCCUGGGGAGUACGGCCGCAAAGGCUG
This 374-nucleotide ribosomal RNA is filed under the name uncultured organism. RNAcentral's name for it is "partial 16S ribosomal RNA". It matches the Rfam family "Bacterial small subunit ribosomal RNA", at positions 527 to 896 of the family's 1533-position model. The record is from RNAcentral.